Molecule: ribosomal RNA, 496 nt
Filed under: uncultured bacterium
Lineage: Bacteria
Description: partial 16S ribosomal RNA
Rfam family: Bacterial small subunit ribosomal RNA
Source: RNAcentral
GAUGAACGCUGGCGGCGUGCCUAAUACAUGCAAGUCGAGCGAACAGACGAGGAGCUUGCUCCUUUGACGUUAGCGGCGGACGGGUGAGUAACACGUGGGUAACCUACCUAUAAGACUGGGAUAACUUCGGGAAACCGGAGCUAAUACCGGAUAAUAUUUCGAACCGCAUGGUUCGAUAGUGAAAGAUGGCUUUGCUAUCACUUAUAGAUGGACCUGCGCCGUAUUAGCUAGUUGGUAAGGUAACGGCUUACCAAGGCAACGAUACGUAGCCGACCUAAGAGGGUGAUCGGCCACACUGGAACUGAGACACGGUCCAGACUCCUACGGGAGGCAGCAGUAGGGAAUCUUCCGCAAUGGGCGAAAGCCUGACGGAGCAACGCCGCGUGAGUGAUGAAGGUCUUCGGAUCGUAAAACUCUGUUAUUAGGGAAGAACAAACGUGUAAGUAACUGUGCACGUCUUGACGGUACCUAAUCAGAAAGCCACGGCUAACUACGU